AGAGCGAACGCUGGCGGCAGGCCUAAUACAUGCAAGUCGAACGAACCCUUCGGGGUUAGUGGCGGACGGGUGAGUAACACGUGGGAACGUGCCCUUUGGUUCGGAACAACUCAGGGAAACUUGAGCUAAUACCGGAUAAGCCCUUCGGGGGAAAGAUUUAUCGCCAUUGGAGCGGCCCGCGUCUGAUUAGCUAGUUGGUGAGGUAACGGCUCACCAAGGCGACGAUCAGUAGCUGGUCUGAGAGGAUGAUCAGCCUCACUGGGACUGAGACACGGCCCAGACUCCUACGGGAGGCAGCAGUGGGGAAUAUUGGACAAUGGGCGCAAGCCUGAUCCAGCCAUGCCGCGUGGAUGAUGAAGGCCCUAGGGUUGUAAAGUCCUUUCGGCGGGGAAGAUAAUGACGGUACCGCAGAAGAAGCCCGGCUAACUUCGCGCCAGCAGCCGC
RNAcentral lists this ribosomal RNA (444 nucleotides) under uncultured bacterium. RNAcentral describes it as "SSU rRNA". It matches the Rfam family "Bacterial small subunit ribosomal RNA", at positions 26 to 518 of the family's 1533-position model. The record is from RNAcentral.